UACGGGGGGGGCAAGCGUUGUUCGGAAUUACUGGGCGUAAAGGGCUCGUAGGCGGCCAACUAAGUCAUACGUGAAAUCCCUCGGCUUAACCGGGGAACUGCGUCUGAUACUGGAUGGCUUGAGUUCGGGAGAGGGAUGCGGAAUUCCAGGUGUAGCGGUGAAAUGCGUAGAUAUCGGGAGGAACACCAGAGGCGAAGGCGGCGAACUGGACAGCAACUGACACUCAACUGCGAAAGCGUGGGGAGCAAACAGG
RNAcentral lists this ribosomal RNA (253 nucleotides) under uncultured bacterium. RNAcentral's name for it is "partial 16S ribosomal RNA". It matches the Rfam family "Bacterial small subunit ribosomal RNA", at positions 524 to 776 of the family's 1533-position model. The record is from RNAcentral.